RNAcentral lists this antisense RNA (69 nucleotides) under Lentzea waywayandensis. RNAcentral's name for it is "ASpks TB sRNA". It matches the Rfam family "ASpks TB sRNA". Lineage: Bacteria; Bacillati; Actinomycetota; Actinomycetes; Pseudonocardiales; Pseudonocardiaceae. The record is from RNAcentral.
CUUGACCGAUCCCAGCCACAGCGGGACUUCCCGGUCCUGCCCGUAGGUCGCCAGCAGCGCCUGCGCCUC